UGCAACCUGAACUCAGAUGUGAUUACCCGCUGAACUUAAGCAUAUCUGUAG
RNAcentral lists this ribosomal RNA (51 nucleotides) under Stenurus globicephalae. RNAcentral describes it as "partial 28S ribosomal RNA". The record is from RNAcentral. Lineage: Eukaryota; Metazoa; Nematoda; Chromadorea; Rhabditida; Pseudaliidae.